Non-coding RNA from Oryctolagus cuniculus (rabbit), 3261 nucleotides. The record is from RefSeq and is a predicted model, not a curated record. NCBI's taxonomy places the organism in Eukaryota, Metazoa, Chordata, Mammalia, Lagomorpha, Leporidae.
UAGUCCUUUCAUAUGCUGAUUUCAUCUCUUUUGGGUAAAUACCUUGGAGUGGGAUGGCUGGUUCAUAUGGUAGAUCUAUUUUCAACUUUCUGAGGCAUCUUUAUACAGUCUUUCACAAUGACCAUACUAGUCUACUCCCACCAAGUGUGGAUUAGAGAAUCUUUUCCCUCAUAUCCUCUCCAGUGUUUAUUGUUUUAUGGUUUGUAUUUGCAUUUCCCUGAUGGCUAAUGAUCCUGAGCAUUUUUUCAUGUGUCUGUUGGCCAUUUGAAUUUCAUCCACUGAAAAAUGCCAUGUUCAUGUCUUUUGCCCAUUUCUUACUGUACUGUUAGUUUUUUUGUUGUUGAAUAUCUUGAGUUCUUUAUAGUUUCUGGAUAUUCAUCCUUUAACAAUUGCAUAGUUUACAAAUAUUUUCUCCCAUUCUAUUGGUUGCCUCUUCACUUUCUUGAGUGUUUCCUUUUAGUAUAGAUGCUUUUUAGCUUGAUGUAAUCUCAUUUGUCUAUUUUUUAGAUUUCCUGUGCUUCUGGAGUCUUUUCCAAGAAGACUUUGCCUAUGCCAACAUCUUGCAGAGUUUCCUCAAUGUUCUCCUCUUAGUAAUUUGAUGGUAUCAGGUCCUGGAUUUGAAUCCUUGAUUUAUUUUUAGUUGAUUUUUGUAUAAAGUGUAAGGUAGGGAUCUGGUUUCAUAUUUUCCCACAUGGAGAUCCAAUUUUCCCAGCACAAUCUGUGGAAGAGCAUGCAUUUUCCCAGGGACUGAUUCAAGCUUCUUUGUUAAAAUUCUUAGGUUUUAGUUGCAUGGAUUUAUUUCCAAAGUUUCUAUUCAGUUCCAUUGGGCUGCAUAUCUAUUUUCGUGCCAGUAUCAGGAUGCUUUGAUUAUAACUUCCCUGUAUUAUAUCUUGAAAUCUGAUGUUGUGAUGCCUCUGGCUGUUUUUGCUGUUUAAGAUUGCUUUAGCUAUUCUGGGUCUCCUGUGUUUCCAUAUGAAUUUUAGCAUCAUGUUUUCUACAUCUGAGAAGAAAUGUUGUUGGUAUUUUGAUUGGGUUCGUGUUGAAUUUGUGGGGCUCCAUGGGAUGCGCAGCCAUGGAGCCCCCACGUCAAGGUCGGUCUGAUAACUGUUGCUGUGUCUUUAUCACAAGGCGGAUGUUGCUAGUUUCGGUUAGGGCAAUGCUUUCCCACGGUCGGGACUUUCCAGAGGCACUGAGCCUGUCUCAUAAACAACAAGACGGCGCUGAGGACUAUGCGGUGAGCCUGCCUGCUGCGUGACACCUCAUCUGAUUGGCCCGAGGACGUGUGCACACUGUGUGAACAGACAGCGGAUUGGAGCAUUCCGUGCAUGGACUUGAGCCCACUUGCAAUUGGCCGGAUUUUGUAUAUAAGCUGUGUGCUGAGGAAGGAGGGGUCUUUUUCUGUCCACUCUCCUCCCUUCAUUCUUUCUCUGUCGCUGUUAUUUUCUUAUUAAAAGUCUACUGAAGACCGAUAAGCUGCGAGCAGUGUCAUUCCUUUGCGGGCAAGGGAGCAACAAGUGGUUCCGUGACUCAGAUUCGGACCACUUUGCUACACGCAGGAAUAGAUGGUCAUUUUGCAGCGGAUCAACAGUGGCAACCACAAACAGCUGGGGUAAGAACAAUGGUAAAAUGGAAGGAUCCUAUCACCAAUCAACGGAAUGGACCUGAUCCAGUACUGGUAUGGGACAUGGGCUCUUAAGGACUGGGUAUUUUUAUGCAACCAAUUUGCUUUUACAUUGUUAACCUCUGAUGAUUUUCGCAACUGCUCAUUGGGCCGUGUGGCCCAAUGCUAACAUCUGUAUUUCCAAAGGCACGACAGCGAUGCUCAUUAUCUGAGAACUGUGAUGAUGAUGUCAUCGUAAUUGGAGACCUGCUUUCACCAUGGCUAUACAGCUAGUGGGAGUUCCUGGAUUGGCUUAUGGAAAUAAUCGUGGACUAUGAAGGCUUGCAUGUUUGGUGACCAAAACAAUCGAUCUUACUGCUACUGCGCUAUCCAAUAUAGCUGAAGAAUUGGAUCAAGUUCGUUCAGGAGUACUCUUAAACCGAGCAGCUAUCGAUUAUUUGCUGUUAAAAGAUCAUAUAAGCUGUAAAUCUGUUCCAGGGAAAUGUUGUUUUAACAUUACUAACAAUGCCAUAUAUAGAGUCUGUUAUUGAUAAACUUAAGAGUAAAAUGCAACAUAUGUUUAUUACUAACCCACUAACAUUUGAGGGGUUUCAAUGGAUUUGUUGGUUAUUAAUGCUGGCUGGACCGUUACUGCUUUUCAUACUUUAUAUGGGAUGUUUUCCGUGUGUUCUGCAAUUUGUGCUAUCUUCGCUACAGUCUGUAUGGGCUGACAUUCAUCACUUAAAACUUCGUACCAAACCUCCUUUGUAUUAAAAAAUAAUUAAUAUUUGGCUGUAUGUUUCAUCUCUCACCUAAUGUUGGGCUAAAAUGGUACUCAAAAACACGUAAGACACUCCACAUCCUGUACCUACCUAAGACAGGGCUCAAGUUAAAGAAUGGGUCGCUAUUGGUUGCUUGUUUGUCAUGGUACUACUGGGCCUUGCCUUCAUUGCCAGAUGGAUCAGAGCCUUAGCACUCCGUCAGCAGAAUACCAACUUAAUAAUCCAACAGGCUAUGCUGGCCACCUUGCGAUCUCACCCCAAUAAAAAAGUAUGGCUUAGCAUGCUGGAGCGGUAGUCAAAGACGGGUAAACACUGAUGGGCGCUCCUAGCAACCUAAGACAGAGGGUAGGACAGGCUUCCUAUUACCUCCAUGACGGGUAAGCAGGUAGCGCGCCAUUGGGUACCUAAGACAGGCAUGUUUCCAUGCCAUUUAAAUAAUAAAGAAGGGGGAGAUGUGGGACUCCAUGGGAUGCGCAGCCAUGGAGCCCCCACGUCAAGGUCGGUCUGAUAACUGUUGCUGUGUCUUUAUCACAAGGCGGAUGUUGCUAGUUUCGGUUAGGGCAAUGCUUUCCCACGGUCGGGACUUUCCAGAGGCACUGAGCCUGUCUCAUAAACAACAAGACGGCGCUGAGGACUAUGCGGUGAGCCUGCCUGCUGCGUGACACCUCAUCUGAUUGGCCCGAGGACGCGUGCACACUGUGUGAACAGACAGCGGAUUGGAGCGUUCCGUGCAUGGACUUGAGCCCACUUGCAAUUGGCCGGAUUUUGUAUAUAAGCUGUGUGCUGAGGAAGGAGGGGGCUUUUUCUGUCCACUCUCCUCCCUUCAUUCUUUCUCUGUCGCUGUUAUUUUCUUAUUAAAAGUCUACUGAAGACCGAUAA